Molecule: ribosomal RNA, 4111 nt
Filed under: Triticum aestivum (bread wheat)
Lineage: Eukaryota; Viridiplantae; Streptophyta; Magnoliopsida; Poales; Poaceae
Description: partial small subunit ribosomal RNA
Source: RNAcentral
GGCGCAAGGGGAAGGAGAGCUGAGCCAAGCUUGGCCAAACCCCGGGAGAAGCGUACCGGCGAAGGUUUGGGAUUGGGCGUCUAGGAAACGAGGGGAUUUGGGAAGGGGGUUAGGGGGAAGAGGAGGCGGGGCGCCACGAGCGGCCACGCCCGUGGCGGGAGGCGACGAGACGGGCCGCCCUGCGAGCCGCAGAGCUGGGGGCGGAGUCGGCAGCGCGCACUCCACGUACAGAGUUGAGCUAGACUUCCUAUAUACAUCACCUACAACUUACUGUAAGAGAUACCUAAACUUGCGUAGUGGUAACGGACUUCUUCUCCUACUCGUCGGAAUACUUCUUGGUGGACCACUCCGACUAAUACGCGUACUCCUCCUUGUACAACUCAGACGACAACGUUGUAACGCUUCCCUCGCACUUCUCUCCGCCUCCUUUAACUUCUCUCUCGUGGUCCUACUUCCGAGUUACGUUGUGGGAGUCGUCUAUUCCUUACUAAUACGUGGAGGUUAGUUUCAACCAUCUCCGGCCUAAUUUCUCCGUGGACUCCCAACCAACCUAACAGGACGUAAACCACUCGGUUAUCUAUUUUAGUAUGGGAGGUUUCAAGGAGAACUACUUUGUAAGUUACUUAGUCAAGGAGGACCGUUUUCUAUAAGAAGGUUUGUUCAUCAUUUGUUCGUUUCUUUUCGACCGGCACUUUAUCCCGACCACUAACUAGACUGAUUAUGAAGAGCUAUAAUGAGUGGUCGUCUCACCUGUUUCGUUCCAUGAUUCGUAGAGUUCUAAGGAACGUUCCCUUCUCUACGACAUGGUCUAUUACUUAGACAAUUGCGUAAACAGAUACUCCACUACUACAUAGAACUUGCUGUUUUCGUAUGGUUCUGAGGGUUCAUAUAAGAUCAAGUGACAUGGGUACCAGUAUUAGCAUGUCCAAAGUACUAAUAAGUAAUGGAGUACGCAUGUGCGUAGAGAACACAACGACUCCGUUAUGCAUAAAAACGAGUUUCCGCUGGAGGACCAUAUAUAUUCUCCCUGAUGUAACUUCGUAACAUAAGUAAAAUAGUGCUCCAAGGACUCUUAUAUUAACAUUGUACGGGAAGUUGUGGUCUUACCUUCUCCGGAAGACUAGAACUAGAUUUACCACUUCGAUUCGGUCUACUACUACUACUGUUGCCACUACAAAGUGGUCAUGUAUUACUACAUCUCCUCUUUCAGUAGUGGUUACUACUACACGACCCUCUGCUACAUGGAAAACUAGUCGUUCUCCGAGACGCCUAGCAUACGAUAGCAAACGAACUUGAAGGGGGACGCUCUCCCGUACGUGUUAAAGGUCCUAGUGUGGGUCAGAGAGAACUGUCACUAUUAGACGUCGAUGAAUCUGUCGCUAUGAUAAUACGAUGAACCUUUCGACUGCCUUGGGCUAUAUACUACGAAUAUUACUCCCUACCAACAAAGAACUAACUAGCCUUAAAAACGAAAUCCUCUCAAGUCUACGCGAAAGGGGUAUCCUUGGACUUACUUCCAGGUGUACUAUACUGUAACUAACUGCCCCUUUACUAAUAUCUAUGUCAUGGACUAAGUCCUAACUUCUCCUCCAUGAAUCGCAUACUAGACUACCGUGAACUAAGUCACAGGUUCUGUUUCAACGGAAAGAGACUCUCCACCUCUAAUUAACUUCUACUUUAUUAGGCCGGUGCGGUAUUGCUCUCUUUUUACAAACUCUCACCACGAUUCUCGUUAGGUUACAUGUUUAUACUAUACCUCGAUAAAAGCCGGGCCUCUUUCCUAAAGACCGAAGACGUAUGUCGUUUUUCCCAUGACUUCCUCAAAUAGGGUAGUGAAACGGUACUACGACUACCGGACUAUAAAGUCCCGACCCUACUAGGAAUACAUUGAGCGUGGGUACUUCCAGAAGAAUUCACCUUUAUGGGACUUUACUUAAGUCAACUGAAAAACAAACUCCAACCGUUACUAUUAGCGGUCGAGCAAAAAGAAAUGCUCUCUCCGUUUUUCUUUGAGUACCUACCAAGAACCUACCAUAAAGGUUUACCUCUUCUAGGUAGUAGAUAGAGACCCUCCUAACAACUCACGAGAACCUUAUUCCUUGUUGUCACAACCCAGACGUACGCGCAAUCUAAGCUAUUUAGCUGAGGAUUACUAUAGUUGUGUAUAGCGUUCCAUUACUCCUCGUAGUGUCUGUUAUAUUGGCUUCUGUUCGAAGAUCUUCUCUAGUGACUCUAUUAAAGGGAGGGCUACAUACGACUAUCCUUCUUCCGACUACUUUCCUACCGGGUACGUUUCUACCGUGUUGUAGCCGCCUCUCCCGUCUACGGUGGUGUCAUCACAAUCGGAACAACCUCAUCACGAUCUCGCGGCGACGGGGCAGAGAGACCCGACCCGCAGCCGACCAAGGUAAUCGAACACAUUAAUCAUCUCCAAAUCCCGGCAUACAACUACCGGCCGGUCGGCUGAUUAAGAAACGUGAACAACACACGGGUGGCGGACAUAUAUCAACAGCGUCGUCUCAUCAGGACAUUUAGAACAUAGUACAAAGACCUAAGAGAGGAUACCAAAUCAAAGUACCCACAUCAUAUCAAUCAGAAAAUUGUUCUCUCCCUCGCACAAGUUCAGAACAGAACAUCAUAACGGUUUUCACAGGAUUACGGCUCCCACGUAACUCGAGCCCUUACGGAGAAUAAUAGGAUACAAUCCUAAUUAAUUACUAACAAUUAAUUCCCUGUUAGGGACGAAAAUGAUUGGCGUCUGUCAACGUAGACGGCGCAGCCAAGGGACGGCUUAUCCGUGGAGGGACUUGUCUACGGAAGGAUCACUACAGAGAAGGGAAACAUAUUUAUCGUCUAGAGUAGAUUAUUUCUCCUGUGGCAAAAGUAAUGAAGAGAGCAAGAUGAGAAUUGUGCAAUAGUCGUGCGGGAGACCGCCUCGCUAAAGUGCCGGUUUGACGGCCGUCGCUCACGCGUCGCAGCGCUACGGGAGACCGGGACGAACCGUUUCCUUCGGUUGCGAGGUCGUGAUCGUUUCCGUCGCGUACCGCGGCGCGUGUGGAGUUACCGAUAAGGCGCCGUUGCGCCACAAGGGCCGCCUUCCGCCGUGGGUACGCGCUGGCGCCCGAGGGCCGUCGCACAGGUGUCCUCGCUGGUUGCCGGUUGCGAACCUGGCCGCCGAGACAGGACGCGCUGUCAGUCCCGUCUUACUCUUUCUUGUCUCCAACACCUAGAGGUAGCUAAGUUCUUAACUUCCGGAGUUGUUGCUUGCGGUUACCUAAGGGUAGCUAAGUAACUACUUUUUCCUUUUUCCACUGUGUCCCUUCGAUUAAAAUUCCGAGCGUGUGGAAUUUCAGAUGCGACUUGGUGAGUCUGAGGAACUUACGUAGUUCAACUCCAUUCACCGAGAAGGGAGGUAACUGAUCUGAUAAGUCCAUAAGGUACCAAGAUUUUCUGUAUAGAUGUACUACCAGAAUUCACACACGAAAUAAGUGUGUUUUGGUAACCGAGUAAAAGGACUGUAGCUAAAGUUCUUUUAGCAUACCUAUCGUAACGUCUUAAGAGGAACUCACGGAAAGAGAUACCGGGAGCCUAACUUCAAAUCGUUAAACAGGAUUACAGAUCUGAGUUUUACCAAACCAUCUUAGGAAAUAGGUUUCUUCAAUCCGAGUAACGUAAUAGAAAUGAAACCUUAACGUUGAAUGGUUGAAAUGCAACCUCAGUACGUCAAAUGUGCGAGUACUGUAUUGACGUAUUAUAAUAAGGGGAGAUAGAAACUAUACACCUAUAGAUAGUUCAUAAAAGAUAGACGCCAUUAAGCCAACGUAUGGCUAUAGUGGUGGGCCGUAUGUAGUAACCGGGGAGUUGUAUAUCAACCCUAGAUACACUCCUUAUUGACAUCAAGACAGUUAUGGAGUUCGAGGAGCGUACCCCCAAUAAGUUCCGGACAUACGACUAAGUUACUCCUUGUAAAGGUCCGUAGUCCCCCUCUAAAGUUCAUGGUAUUUCUUACGGUCCUUUAAUCACCUUACAAGUUGUGUAAAAACGGAGUUUAGGUGCAUGAGUUUCUAGCUUUGGUACGCAAGUCUUAUAAACGUUGUGUAACGUUUAUUGG